ACGAAAAUGUGGUUUGAGUUUAAAAUCGUUUAAAAAGCCCGCUUUAAAUUCAUAUUUUAAAAAGCAAUCACUUGAAAAAUGUUCUAAAGAAGUGCCUUCGAGUAAAGGCCAGUCAAAUUCAGGCCCAGAAAAGAUAAAUUUGGUAAAUAAAGCAGAAAAUGAGACACCAAUUUCUGAGACUAGAAUGAAGCUGUUUGGUCUGAUGCGAAGAUUCAAGAACUGGAAGGAUAUGACACCUCUUCCUUUAAAUCCUUUGAUUAAAUCACUAACUGAAACCCAAAAUGAGGUCAAUGAUAAAUCAACUGAGACACACGGUAGCUCAAAUAGUUGUGCUUCCCAUGGAAUGGGGAACAACAAUUAUGUUGACUUGCCCAAACUUGGGGAUCACUUUCUUUCUCACAAAGCACAGUUUUAUACAUUCAAUGAAAAUGAUGAGUUUUGUAU
Long non-coding RNA from Dendronephthya gigantea, 444 nucleotides. RefSeq lists it as uncharacterized. NCBI's taxonomy places the organism in Eukaryota, Metazoa, Cnidaria, Anthozoa, Malacalcyonacea, Nephtheidae. The transcript is spliced from 3 exons. The record is from RefSeq and is a predicted model, not a curated record.